RNAcentral lists this ribosomal RNA (1962 nucleotides) under Triticum aestivum (bread wheat). Its description in RNAcentral is "partial small subunit ribosomal RNA". Lineage: Eukaryota; Viridiplantae; Streptophyta; Magnoliopsida; Poales; Poaceae. The record is from RNAcentral.
AUGGCGAGCGACGACGACAAAGCUGCGUGGCGGUGCUGCAAUGGGCGGAUGGCGAGCUACGACAUGGCCGGUGGUGAUGCUGGAAUCAUCACCUGGCGGUGCUGCAAUCAGGGGGGUGUGAGACGCGUCGAGAUGCAAAGGCGGAGCUGCAUCCGGCGAGCGGCCUCGGCGAGCUGUGGCGGCCCCGGCGAGCGGCGGCAGCCCCGGCAAGCGGCGACGGCAAGCGGCCCCGGCGAGCGGCGACGGACAACCAAGGGCGAGCACCAGGAGACUGACCUGUGGAUUUCUUCUUUUUUUUCUCACGCGCGUCCAGAAGGAAGAAGACGACCUGCAGACCGGCCCAAAUUUCGGCCGGUGGGCCGGCGCCUAUCAGCGCCCUUUAUAAAGCCACCACUCCCUUCGCCCCUAGAAAAGGAGCAAGACAAUCCCUUCUCCUCUACCGCCGCCGCAGCCGCCAAGACAAUCAACUGCGAAGCCAACUCUGAUUGCCGCCUGCACCAUCUUCGACUUGUAGUUGCGUACGGGUGGAGGGCCAAUGGCAACGCCUUUGAAAGGAGUCGAAGGAACCAGAGUGGCAAGAAAUCCAGAAAAUAUUUACCUUCCCCCGAUGGCGCGUACAGCACAAGAAGGCGACGAGCAAGGAGGAACAAGUUCAACGCGUUCACUGUCUGGAUAAACUUGUUUCCCGACUCUCGCCGCCGUAAGCAGACUGCUUUCUCAGCACGAGCAGAUGUGCAGUGCCUGCCUCCGGCUCUCUUCCGCUUGGAGGCAGCGCAUGGAUCGCUGGAGUACUUUGCGUCAGCCUUUGGCACCAGGAUCUUGGCGAUGCAUACCAGGGAUCCCGGAGGCAAGAGAUUGUUGGCCGGGACCUUCGUUCCCAUGUUGGACGUCUCCUCGCUGAGCAUGACCUUUUGCCCUGGCCAGGAAUAUCCGAUUAAUCCCAUUUAUCUCUCCGCCGGCAAUAAGCUAUUCUGCCUGAGCGAAGCCUCCUUCGAGAUGCUCCAAUGGGAGCCUCUCUGCCCGCCGCCGCUGGGUCGACGUCGCAAAAAGGAGUGGUCGUGGCAACGGCUCGAGGAUCCGCCAUUCAGAAAAUAUAUGGUCACUUCCUACGCUGUGGAUGUGAACCCUGAAGCAUGCACCUUCCUCGUCAGCACCAAGUACGGCACCUUCUCCUAUCACACGGCACGGAAUCGGUGGUCCCAGGUUGGCAGUUGGGUGCUGCCCUUUGACGGCCGUGGUCACUUUGACACGCACCUCGUGGCCUUUGUUGGGCUCUCCAAACACAAGCACACCCUCGGCCAACUCUACUCCUGCCAAUUCAACGCCGGGGGUGACCCCACCAUUAAGCUUGGCAAGGAGAAGCUGUUCAGCCAGGACCCAACUGAGAGGCAUGUAGGUGCCACCCUCGUUUACCUGGGACCAGUCUACAUGGAACAAGACUUCACGGGCCGGACAAAAUUCUGCCUUGUAGAGUGCGUCGCCAUUGAGGGCGACGGUGCUGGUCAGGAGCUGAAGGAAGAGCGAGAUGUGAGCCGAUCCGGUUACAGUGCUGAUCAGGAGGUUAAGGUAGAGGCAGAUGUGGCUGAUCAGGAGGUCAAGGAAGAGGCAGAUGUGGCUGGUCAGGGGCUCCAGGAAGGGCGAGAUGUGAGCCAAUCUGGUUACAGUGCUGAUCAGGAACUCAAGGAAGAGGCAGAUGUGGCUGAUCAGGCGCUCAAGGAAAAGGGAGUUGUGAGCUGGCCUGGAUGCUCUACUGAAGAUGACAGUGCUGUUCAGGAGUUCAAUGAACAGCGAGAUGCAUGGCCACCGGGUUGCUCUCUGUAUCGUUUGACCACAUUCUCGCUCAGCUAUGACAACAAAGGAGACCUGACGACUGCCAAUAGCCAUCGGGUGCAAUACUACAAAGUGCCUGAAGCAAUCACUAAGUCGUACCUAGUUGAAGAUCCUGUGGCAUUUUGCAUGUAA